AGAUUUAAAAAGCCCUUCAGUCGCCAUCAUGAUUAUCUAUCAGGACCUUAUCAGCCACGAUGAUAUGUUCUCCGACAUCUACAAGAUCCGGGAGAUCGCAGACGGGCUGUGCCUGGAGGUGGAGGGGAAGAUGGUCAGUAGCACAGAAGGUAACAUUGAUGACUCGCUCAUUGGUGGAAAUGCCUCCGCUGAAGGCCCCGAGGGCGAAGGUACCGUAAGCACAGUAAUCACUGGUGUCGAUAUUGUCAUGAACCAUCACCUGCAGGAAACAAGUUUCACAAAAGAAGCCUACAAGAAGUACAUCAAAGAUUACAUGAAAUCAAUCAAAGGGAAACUUGAAGAACAGAGACCAGAAAGAGUUAAAACCUUUAUGACAGGGACUGCAGAACAAAUCAAGCACAUCCUUGCUAAUUUCAAAAACUACCAGUUCUUUAUUGAUGAAAACAUGAAUCCAGAUGGCAUGGUUGCUCUAUUGGACUACCGUGAGGAUGGUGUGACCCUAUAUAUGAUUUUCUUUAAGGAUGGUUUAGAAACAGAAAAAUGUUAACAAAUUUGGCAGUUAUUUUGGAUCUAUCACCUGUCAUCAUAACUGGCUUCUGCUUGUCAUCCAUACAACACCAGGACUUAAGACAAAUGGGACUGAUGUCAUCUUGAGCUCUUCAUUUAUUUUGACGGUGAUUUAUUUGAAGUAGAGGCAUUGUUUUUAAGAAAAACAUGUCAUGUAGGUUGUCUAAAAAUAAAAUGCAUUUAAACUCAUUUGAGAGAAUGCCUUUUAGUUUAAUGCAUAUUUAGACUAUCAUCCUGUAGUGUUCCUGGAGAAGCUAAAGCCUGGUUGUAGGCUACUACUCAUCAAUUAACUUCUACAGUGGAGACUACUUCUGGGACUGGAAUAUAAAAAAGAAUCAAAGGUUUUGAUUUUGAGUUGCAAUAAAGGGAAAGACCAUGCUCAUAGCAGUGCCAACAUCUGAAGUGUGGAGCCUUACCCAUUUCAUCACCUACAACGGAAGUAGUUAACUGGAAGAGAUUACCAAGAGAAUAAAAAGAGAAUCAUUCAGUGGAA
Molecule: RNA transcript, 1060 nt
Organism: Nomascus leucogenys (northern white-cheeked gibbon)
Lineage: Eukaryota; Metazoa; Chordata; Mammalia; Primates; Hylobatidae
Gene name: translationally-controlled tumor protein pseudogene
Exons: 1
Source: RefSeq, a predicted model, not a curated record